GGCUACACACGUGCUACAAUGGGUAGUACAGAGAGUCGCAAAGCCGCGAGGUGGAGCUAAUCUCAGAAAACUAUUCUUAGUUCGGAUUGCACUCUGCAACUCGAGUACAUGAAGUUGGAAUCGCUAGUAAUCGCGAAUCAGCAAUGUCGCGGUGAAUACGUUCUCGGGUCUUGUACACACCGCCCGUCACACCACGAGAGUUGAUUGCACCUGAAGUAGCAGGCCUAACCGCAAGGAGGGAUGCUCCGAGGGUGUGAUUAGCGAUUGGGGUGAAGUCGUAACAAGGUAUCCGUACGGGAACGU
Molecule: ribosomal RNA, 303 nt
Filed under: uncultured Fusobacterium sp.
Lineage: Bacteria; Fusobacteriati; Fusobacteriota; Fusobacteriia; Fusobacteriales; Fusobacteriaceae
Description: bacterial SSU rRNA
Rfam family: Bacterial small subunit ribosomal RNA
Source: RNAcentral